RNAcentral lists this long non-coding RNA (854 nucleotides) under Helianthus annuus (common sunflower). Lineage: Eukaryota; Viridiplantae; Streptophyta; Magnoliopsida; Asterales; Asteraceae. The record is from RNAcentral.
AUUAUACGAUUAUAGAUAAUCGUAUGGUACAUGUAUGUGAAAUCGAGUACAUGUCGUAUGCUUGUUACGAACGAUUAAUGCAAUUUGAAUGUGAAAUUAUGCAAAUGUAUGCUCAUUACCAAGUAAAAUGAUGUAUGCUAACAAGAAUGUGGCGAUUCAAAAAGAGAUCUAGGGUUUCUCGUGGCGAUGCAAGAUCUGGCUUUCUCAAUGACACCAGAUCAACGAAUCUCUCUCUAUACGACACCCAAACGACUGAAGACUUUGACAUCUAAUCAGUGACGUAUGAGCAAGGUAUGGUUCCGGCAAACUGAAGACUUUGACAUCUAAUCUGAAUGGUAUUGGGUCCCCUAUGAAACCCCUUAUAAACGACGAUCACACAAAAUCGACGAUUUUAGGGUUCAGUUUUGGUAAUCUGAUGAGGAAAUUUAGCAUCAUGUUAUGGGUUGCCGGUAAUUCGUUGCAUUAGUUGUUACAAGUGAAGACCCCCAGAGAGACAUGAAGCCCUAGGUUGCUCGAUGUCAAGAUACAAUGAUAGGAUGCACUUUUGUUCGGGGCGUUUCAGGCAGGGAGAGAAAACGAGUUUGUAUUGGACUCGAAAUAAUAAUCAAUCCUUCCCUCUUGUUCCUUGAUGAACCGACAUCCGGCUUGGACUCUACGACUGCUUUGAAGUUCAUUGAACUAUUGCAAGACAUAGCUGAGACAGAGAAGACCGUGAUCACCACAAUUCACCAGCCAGCCAUCGAGCCGACUUUUCCACAAAUUUGAUAAUCUCAUCCUACUUGGCAAAUGGAGCUUGCUUUAUUUCGGGAAAGCAUCAGAAGCCAUGGUAUACUUUUCAUCAAUAGGAUGUUCUC